This 1425-nucleotide long non-coding RNA is filed under the name Homo sapiens (human). Its description in RNAcentral is "non-protein coding lnc-RNFT1-2:5". The record is from RNAcentral. Lineage: Eukaryota; Metazoa; Chordata; Mammalia; Primates; Hominidae.
UUGCGGGGUUUGCGGUUGAUGGCCCCGACUGAAGGGCUGGAGGCGGUGUAUGCCGCUGUUCUUGCUGUCGCUCCCGACACCUCCGUCCGCUUCUGGUCAUGAGAGGAGACAGAGGCCUGAAGCAAAGACAUCUGGGUCAGAGAAAAAGUAUUUAAGGGCCAUGCAAGCCAAUCGUAGCCAACUGCACAGUCCUCCAGGAACUGGAAGCAGUGAGGAUGCCUCAACCCCUCAGUGUGUCCACACAAGAUUGACAGGAGAGGGUUCUUGCCCUCAUUCUGGAGAUGUUCAUAUCCAGAUAAACUCCAUACCUAAAGAAUGUGCAGAAAAUGCAAGCUCCAGAAAUAUAAGGUCAGGUGUCCAUAGCUGUGCCCAUGGAUGUGUACACAGUCGCUUACGGGGUCACUCCCACAGUGAAGCAAGGCUGACUGAUGAUACUGCCGCAGAAUCUGGAGAUCAUGGUAGUAGCUCCUUCUCAGAAUUCCGCUAUCUCUUCAAGUGGCUGCAAAAAAGUCUUCCAUAUAUUUUGAUUCUGAGCGUCAAACUUGUUAUGCAGCAUAUAACAGGAAUUUCUCUUGGAAUUGGGCUGCUAACAACUUUUAUGUAUGCAAACAAAAGCAUUGUAAAUCAGGUUUUUCUAAGAGAAAGGUCCUCAAAGAUUCAGUGUGCUUGGUUACUGGUAUUCUUAGCAGGAUCUUCUGUUCUUUUAUAUUACACCUUUCAUUCUCAGUCACUUUAUUACAGGUAAUUAGAGGUCCAAAUACACAAUUACAUUUUUAAUGUAAUCAUAUAUUUCAUAGCACUUUGUAUCUUACUUCACAUAGUACUUAUUGUAUUCAGUUCAGUUCAGUUUUUAACUUUCUCCUUUCAUAAGCGAGAGCUUUUUUUUUUUUUUUCUUUUUGAGACGGAGUCUCACUCUCUCGCCCAGCCUGGAGUGCAGUGUCUUGAUCUUGGCUCACUGCAACCUUUGCCUCUCAGGUUCAAGCAAUUCUCCCGUCUAAGCCUCCUGAGUAGCUGGGAUUACAGGCACACGCCACCACGCCUGGCAAAUUUUUGUAUUUUUAAUAGAGACGGAGUUUCACCAUGUUGGUCAGACCUCCUGACCUCGUGAUCUGCCUGCCUCCACCUCCUAAAGUGCUGGGAUUACAGGUGUGAGCCACUGCACCCAGCCUCAUAAGUGAGAGCUUUAAGUGACUUACUCAGAUUUUGUAUCCCCAGUGCCUUGGCACAUAACAGAUGCUCAAUAAAUAUUUAAUUUUUUGAUACCUGAGUUUUUGUUUACAUAUUUCGUAUUUUUAAAGUACCAUUAGGUUGUUAUUAUUGGUCGUUGUUUCUGAAAGUAAGAACACUUACUAAAUGACAGUAGCUGAUAAGUCUCCAUGUCAAAUGGGAGUAUUCUGAAUUUUCAGCUUUUAUUAGAAUAUUAG